UACGGAGGGUGCAAGCGUUAUCCGGAUUCACUGGGUUUAAAGGGUGCGUAGGUGGGUUGGUAAGUCAGUGGUGAAAUCCCCGAGCUUAACUUGGGAACUGCCAUUGAUACUAUCAGUCUUGAAUACCGUGGAGGUCAGCGGAAUAUGUCAUGUAGCGGUGAAAUGCUUAGAUAUGACAUAGAACACCAAUUGCGAAGGCAGCUGACUACAGGGACAUUGACACUGAGGCACGAAAGCGUGGGGAUCAAACAGG
This 253-nucleotide ribosomal RNA is filed under the name uncultured bacterium. Its description in RNAcentral is "partial 16S ribosomal RNA". It matches the Rfam family "Bacterial small subunit ribosomal RNA", at positions 524 to 776 of the family's 1533-position model. The record is from RNAcentral.